Molecule: long non-coding RNA, 898 nt
Organism: Thunnus maccoyii (southern bluefin tuna)
Lineage: Eukaryota; Metazoa; Chordata; Actinopteri; Scombriformes; Scombridae
Exons: 3
Source: RefSeq, a predicted model, not a curated record
AACCAUCUAGUUUUGGGAGGAAGGAGUGAGGAAAAUGAGCAAGAGCCAAAGAGGUUUUUCAGGUUUUCCACUGAGCAAGGAAUUCCUAAAAACUAUCCUGGAAUUCUGAAGUGCUGGAUUUUACAAAGGAUAACUUGUGGUGCAAGUGAGGAUUAUGACGGAAUUUUAAAAAUGAGAAUGUGUUUAACCACUUGGUUCACACUAGAAGCCUGAAUGAAAAACAACAUUCAAGAAGCAGGGGUAUUAAGGAAAGUGAAGGGAAGGGCAAAAUUCCAAUCAUAACGGUGAAUUACCUUCAGCCUGGUACACAUUCCUUCACCUGACAGAACAAACAAAUGAGGAGAACACACACCUUGCAGCGAGUCUGACUACAUCAAUCAGGGAGAGAAGACGGAGGGGCUAUUCCUGUUGGCUCAACUGAGAAAAUGAGACUGCAACACAGAACGCAAAGAUUUCACAGGUCACAAGUUAACACCUCCAAAAAUGGAUGCACAUAAACUUCUAUCCAAUAAGAAUAUUCAACAAUGACCCCCAUUUGAUCCUUUAAUGUUCAGUGUGACUUGGCUUAGAAAUGGGCCAUUGUAUGGACACAGUGGAGCCAGGGAAACCUGUGGCUUGUAUGACUUCCUGUCAUUGCUGAGCUUAAAUGGAGUAAAAGUGAAAUUAUUGUUCAGUUCUUUAUUGUCCUAGUGGACCUUCUGGGAGCUGACAAAAGGUCCUGGCCAGACACUGCUGGUUACUAUCUGUCAGCGAGUCCAUCUCUUAGCUGAAACCCACAAUACAGUACAAUAUGUCAAAUACAAAUCGAACAUUUUAGAAUUGCCAGUAAGAUUCUGUUGAAUAGUUGCACCUUAUAACUUGGGGGAAAUAUCACAAAUUAAAACACUUAAAAUCCAUA